This 304-nucleotide long non-coding RNA is filed under the name Capsicum annuum. Its description in RNAcentral is "long non-coding RNA (CANN_LNC001635)". The record is from RNAcentral. Lineage: Eukaryota; Viridiplantae; Streptophyta; Magnoliopsida; Solanales; Solanaceae.
AAACUUUGUCACUUAAUGGUGAUGAUGGGUUGAAUAUUGAGAGUUAAGGCUUAAUGAUUAUGCUAGUGGUUAUUUUAUUGAUUAUGCUAGUGAUUAUACUAUUUAUUGAGCUAGUGAUUAUGCUAUUGCUUAUGAUAUUUAAUAUAUGGCUACUGGUUCAAGUCUAGAUAUUGAUUAUAAUAUUUAUAAUAUACUUAUCAAUUUAAGUCUGAGCAUUUAUUAUGAUAUGAUGGUGCAUGACUAUUGGUUUGAGUCCAGAUAUUAAUAAUGACAUUAAUGAUAUUAUUAUUGGUUAGAGUCCAGC